Molecule: ribosomal RNA, 754 nt
Filed under: uncultured bacterium
Lineage: Bacteria
Description: bacterial SSU rRNA
Rfam family: Bacterial small subunit ribosomal RNA
Source: RNAcentral
ACGAGAAAGUACCUUCGGGUACGAGUAAAGUGGCGGACGGGUGAGGAACGCGUGGAUAACCUACCCUUCAGCGGGGGAUAACUACUCGAAAGAGUGGCUAAUACCGCAUAUGACUACGAUACCUGCGGGUGAUGUAGUAAAAGGCUUCGGCCACUGAAGGAUGGGUCCGCGUCCGAUUAGCUUGUUGGUGGGGUAAAAGCCUACCAAGGCUGCGAUCGGUAGCUGGUCUCAGAGGAUGAUCAGCCACACUGGAACUGAGACACGGUCCAGACUCCUACGGGAGGCAGCAGUAGGGAAUAUUGCACAAUGGGGGAAACCCUGAUGCAGCGACGCCGCGUGAGCGAUGAAGGCCUUCGGGUUGUAAAGCUCUGUGAUAGGGGAAGAUAAUGACGGUACCCUAUCAGAAAGGACCGGCUAACUUCGUGCCAGCAGCCGCGGUAAUACGAGGGGUCCGAGCGUUGUUCGGAAUUACUGGGCGUAAAGCGGGUGUAGGCGGCCAUGAAAGUCGGAUGUGAAAGCCCAGGGCUCAACCCUGGAAGUGCAUCCGAUACUGCAUGGCUUGAGUACUGGAGAGGGAAGUGGAAUUCCUGGUGUAGCGGUGAAAUGCGUAGAUAUCAGGAGGAACAUCGGUGGCGAAGGCGGCUUCCUGGCCAUGUACUGACGCUCAGACCCGAAAGCGUGGGUAGCAAACAGGAUUAGAUACCCUGGUAGUCCACGCCGUAAACAAUGGACACUUGGGUGUCGGAGGUAUUGA